ACGGGUGAGUAAUGUCUGGGGAUCUGCCCGAUAGAGGGGGAUAACCACUGGAAACGGUGGCUAAUACCGCAUAACGUCGCAAGACCAAAGAGGGGGACCUUCGGGCCUCUCACUAUCGGAUGAACCCAGAUGGGAUUAGCUAGUAGGCGGGGUAACGGCCCACCUAGGCGACGAUCCCUAGCUGGUCUGAGAGGAUGGCCAGCCACACUGGAACUGAGACACGGUCCAGACUCCUACGGGAGGCAGCAGUGGGGAAUAUUGCACAAUGGGCGCAAGCCUGAUGCAGCCAUGCCGCGUGUAUGAAGAAGGCCUUCGGGUUGUAAAGUACUUUCAGCGGGGAGGAAGGCGAUGUGGUUAAUAACCGCAUUGAUUGACGUUACCCGCAGAAGAAGCACCGGCUAACUCCGUGCCAGCAGCCGCGGUAAUACGGAGGGUGCAAGCGUUAAUCGGAAUUACUGGGCGUAAAGCGCACGCAGGCGGUCUGUUAAGUCAGAUGUGAAAUCCCCGGGCUUAACCUGGGAACUGCACUUGAAACUGGCAGGCUUGAGUCUCGUAGAGGGGGGUAGAAUUCCAGGUGUAGC
This 581-nucleotide ribosomal RNA is filed under the name uncultured bacterium. Its description in RNAcentral is "bacterial SSU rRNA". It matches the Rfam family "Bacterial small subunit ribosomal RNA", at positions 102 to 679 of the family's 1533-position model. The record is from RNAcentral.